RNAcentral lists this ribosomal RNA (253 nucleotides) under uncultured bacterium. RNAcentral's name for it is "partial 16S ribosomal RNA". It matches the Rfam family "Bacterial small subunit ribosomal RNA", at positions 524 to 776 of the family's 1533-position model. The record is from RNAcentral.
UACGGGGGGGGCAAGCGUUGUUCGGAUUUACUGGGCGUAAAGCGCACGUAGGCGGAUCGUUAAGUCGGGGGUGAAAUCCUGGAGCUCAACUCCAGAACUGCCUUCGAUACUGGCGAUCUAGAGUCCGGAAGAGGUGAGUGGAACUCCUGGUGUAGAGGUGGAAUUCGUAGAUAUUAGGAAGAACACCAGUGGCGAAGGCGGCUCACUGGUCCGGUACUGACGCUGAGGUGCGAAAGCGUGGGGAGCAAACAGG